UAAGACAGGAAUGUGCUCAUGAAAGCCAUUCUUUGAUGUUCCCAUGUUCUCAAUGAGUCAGUACGAGUGUCAGAAAUAAUAACAGUGGCAAAAAAAGGAGAGGAGGAUUUCACUCAACUCCCACGGCCUUCAUUUACUGGCUGAGAAGUUUUCACACAAUGAGAAGAGUUUCUGAGACAAGUGCAGCUCUUCCUCGGAGGCAAGGCUGCGAUCCGCGUGACCUCCAGACAGGAAGUAGUACUUCCACCUCUGGUCGUAGUGGCUGCUACCUUGAGUGGGAUCCUGCUGUGGUCUGUGAGAGUGGUGAGAUCCAAGACGAGACGUCGAAGAAGAGGUUGCAUCAUGGCUGGUUGGAGUUCACUGAGGAGACAUACAGUAUGGAAAGUGGACUUGAAACUGGACCGUAUCCUUGACAAAAUGGCACGAUGACUCAUUAAUCACAGACGAUCACAUCAUUAGGGAAUGAGGAAUCUAAUUAAGAAUUGUCAUUAGCAAAUUAGAAAAUGAUGUCCGAAUCAUGGCAAAACAUUAUUGAUGCCUUACAAACAAGUACUGCAAAAGCACUGCAGACAGGAAGUGCAGUAUCUCGCCGUUUGCCCUCAGCUUCCUGAUAGAAUGUUUGAUUUGGUCUGGCAGCGGAAUAAAAAAAAAGUACCUUAUCAUGCAGAUAAGAGUAAUAGCCAAGUACACUCAGAACCAGAGGAUGUCGUACUUGCACACGGCCAAUAAGCAAUUCUCAGUGGUGUCCCUCUGGGCCUUAGUCAGGCUCGCAGCCCUGGAGAGGCUGUAGAUAGCCUGGAUCAGAGAAUCCAUCAAGGCGGCGUGGUCCUCCAGACCGCUAAGGAGAGCGGAGCACUUGGUGAGCAGAGGAAGCACAGUCGAGCACAGGUACCUGUUGAGGGCCAAGGCCAUGUCGGUGGAUCCAAAGUCAACCUGCAGGAGGAUUAAAGAUGGACGUGUGACUGUUUUAUUUCAUGUAUCUAUUGGAAAACAAUAAACAAGGCAACCUGCCAAUCAUUGCCUGGGUGGGUAGGAGUUAAAGGGCAUUGCUAUUGGUGGCAAGCUGCGGUUUAAAUCAAUACUAGGUCACAGGUCACGCUUUCACAAUGAAUUUGAGUGGGACAAGCGAGUAAAAGUUCACUAAAGCUCACCGUGUCGAGAGAGACUGCAGUCUGAAGGUCAGACAGAAAGCCAACCUGGAGGAGAUGGAGGAGGAAAGUCCGUUUCUCUAUACCGUACACGCGGUCCAGAAACAGAACCAUAGCGGCCUUGUGGUCGGGACAGAACACCGUCGAUAAGUCGGGCUCAACUACGCAACCAUCUGCAAGAAAGUUUAAUUGCCGUCAGCGUCAUUGAUAUAGAAUCUAAAAGGUGCACUAUAAUGGAAAAGUGGGAUUUUAAUGAUGUUUUAGCAGUAAUACAUAUUUGUCCUCACAGCCUGUGCCUUAUAGUCUGGUGUGACUUAUGGUAAUGGUUUAAUUUCAUUUGAACAUGCAUCAGAUUACAAUUGAAUGCAUCACAUAAUCAGUUCACAGUUCCGCAUGUCCAAAAGGAGUAGGAAGAAGCAAAGCUUAUUAAAUCCUACCCCUUCAUCUGGUACUUUUACAAUCAGUAACUGUUACAUUUGUUCACUUCCUGCUUUCCUAAUAUAAUAAAAAAAAAGUAUUGUUUAUAAUUUGUUAUAAUUGUUUUUUUUAUAAUUUUUCAUUUUUUUUAUAAUUUCACUUCCUGCUUUCCUAAUAUAAUAAAAAAAAUAAUUAUUGUUUAUAAUUUUUUAUAAUUGUUUUUUAUAAUAUUUCAAUUUUUCAUAAUUAAAAAAAAUUAAAAUAAUUUUAAUAUUUUUUUUUGUCCCAUACCAAAGUACGAGGUGACCUCCUAGCUGUGAUGUCUGCGCGCUAACCACUUGACCGCCGUGCAGCCUGGGAGUGUCUCUUAUCUUAUUCAUGUCUCAUAUGUCUUAUUGUCAGUGAUUAUAUUUACUAUAUUGGGUAAUACAAAUGUGAAAGAUGUUUUUUCCGUGUCUAGAGGACCCUAAUUAUAUAAAAAGGUUAUAAACAAGUUUUCUAUGGUAAAAUUCCAGCAUCAAACCUGGAUUUUGGACAACACACUACACUUGAGAUCUUAAACUGGUGAAGAAUAUGAGCCCAUUAACUCCUACUUGACCUUUUGACACAGAUGGGACUUGGAAAGAGAUGCUAAUGACGCCCUGAAGAUCCUGGAUGGGUAUGAGCGACCUCAGAAUGGCUCGCAUGCGGAUGGCCUCCCCUUUGCCUCCUUGAAUCAGCUGCAACAGUUCAGAAAAUAAAUGGAAGUAUUGUGAAAUGAUGUGUACUGUACAUACUGAUAACAGGAUAGAGAAGUUGGGAACAUGUUUUAUUUACAAGCUUUUUUGGCUAGCUGGGACUGUGCAGCUUAUCUUUGUGAAAGCUAGCGAUGCAGUAUUGAUGUAGUAUUUUUAUCUGUUACAUCUUCUCUUGCUUUGUACUGCUAUUGUGUCCAAAAGAAAGAUAUUUCUUACACUGGACAAGGCAACAAAAAGCAAACAUAAUUCGACAUAACGUCAAUGUGCAUGUAUUGUAAAAAAUAUAUAUAUAUAUACAGUCUGUGGACUAGUGUGGAAGUGCCGUGUUUCUCCAUGAGGCAUUAGCAUUUGAGGCGCUAGCAGAUAUUGAUGUCGAAAGGACAAAAACACUCACUUGCAUCUCUGGAGCACAGCGCCCCAGCAAGUCAAUGAGGGCCGAGUAGAAGGUCAUGAUGGCGUGGCCCAUAUGAAUGAGGUCAUCCUCACUGUCCUGCACGGCAUCUCUGUUACGGCAACAAUUAUGACCAUUAGCAGCUUGCCAAUAAUUGGAUAGUGGUGGUUUUUACAGAAGAAUUAACAGGGUUAUUAUUAUUAUUUAGGAUUAUCAUGAUGGAUGACCGGCGGCAUGGUGGUCUAGUGUUUAGCGUGCAGACCUCACAGCUAGGAGACUAGGGUUCAAUUCCACCCUCGGCCAUGUCUGUGUGGAGUUUGCAUGUUCUCCCCGUGCAUGCGUGGGUUUUCUCCGGGUACUCCGGUUUCCUCCCACAUUCCAAAAACAUGCUAGGUUAAUUGGUCCAUAGGUAUGAAUGUGAGUGUGAAUGGUUGUUUGUCUAUAUGUGCCCUGUGAUUGGCUGGCCACCAGUCCAGGGUAUACCCCGCCUCUUAGUCUUUAGCUUUUAACUCCAGUAUUUCCUCAGGGGGGGUCCUCCACACUGGGGGAUGUGUCGGGUCCGCUGAGUGGGUGCCAUGCUUGGGUCCCUUCGACCCAGCCGGCUGGGGGUUCCUCCCUUUGAUGUGGGGGUCCGCCCAUCUGUCGGAGUCGGGGGGCCCGGGUGCUGGUCCCUCUGAUGGCACGGACUGCGGCUCCUCCCAGUGUGGACGGCCCCAAAGGUGGCGUUUCCUUGAUCCUCAGUGUCAUGACAUGUCUCCCUAUUGUGUGUGUGUGUGUGUGUGAGAGUGUGUGUGUCAGUGUGUGUCUAGUA
Doryrhamphus excisus (bluestripe pipefish) is the source of this 3504-nucleotide long non-coding RNA. RefSeq lists it as uncharacterized. The record is from RefSeq and is a predicted model, not a curated record. Lineage: Eukaryota; Metazoa; Chordata; Actinopteri; Syngnathiformes; Syngnathidae.